RNAcentral lists this ribosomal RNA (467 nucleotides) under uncultured bacterium. RNAcentral describes it as "partial 16S ribosomal RNA". It matches the Rfam family "Bacterial small subunit ribosomal RNA", at positions 28 to 507 of the family's 1533-position model. The record is from RNAcentral.
GACGAACGCUGGCGGCGUGCUUAACACAUGCAAGUCGAACGGAAAGGCCUCUUUCGGGGGGUACUCGAGUGGCGAACGGGUGAGUAACACGUGAGUAACCUGCCCUUGACUUUGGGAUAACUUCAGGAAACUGGGGCUAAUACCGGAUAGGAGCUCCUGCUGCAUGGUGGGGGUUGGAAAGUUUCGGCGGUUGGGGAUGGACUCGCGGCUUAUCAGCUUGUUGGUGGGGUAGUGGCUUACCAAGGCUUUGACGGGUAGCCGGCCUGAGAGGGUGACCGGCCACAUUGGGACUGAGAUACGGCCCAGACUCCUACGGGAGGCAGCAGUGGCGAAUAUUGCACAAUGGGUGGAAGCCUGAUGCAGCAACGCCGUGUGCGGGAUGACGGCCUUCGGGUUGUAAACCGCUUUCGCUCAUGACGAAGCUUUGUGUGACGGUAGUGGGUAAAGAAGCACCGGCUAACUACGUG